This 398-nucleotide ribosomal RNA is filed under the name uncultured bacterium. Its description in RNAcentral is "bacterial SSU rRNA". It matches the Rfam family "Bacterial small subunit ribosomal RNA", at positions 361 to 758 of the family's 1533-position model. The record is from RNAcentral.
AUUGCGAUGGGCGAAGCUGAUCCGCAAUGCCGCGUGCAGGAAGAAGGCCUUCGGGUUGUAAACUGCUUUUGUACGGAACGAAACGGUCUGCCCUAAUACGGCGGGCUAAUGACGGUACCGUAAGAAUAAGCACCGGCUAACUACGUGCCAGCAGCCGCGGUAAUACGUAGGGUGCGAGCGUUAAUCGGAAUUACUGGGCGUAAAGCGUGCGCAGGCGGUUAUGUAAGACAGUUGUGAAAUCCCCGGGCUCAACCUGGGAAUUGCAUCUGUGACUGCAUAGCUAGAGUACGGUAGAGGGGGAUGGAAUUCCGCGUGUAGCAGUGAAAUGCGUAGAUAUGCGGAGGAACACCGAUGGCGAAGGCAAUCCCCUGGACCUGUACUGACGCUCAUGCACGAAA